This 1456-nucleotide ribosomal RNA is filed under the name Campylobacter jejuni. Its description in RNAcentral is "partial 23S ribosomal RNA". It matches the Rfam family "Bacterial large subunit ribosomal RNA", at positions 1 to 1485 of the family's 2925-position model. Lineage: Bacteria; Pseudomonadati; Campylobacterota; Epsilonproteobacteria; Campylobacterales; Campylobacteraceae. The record is from RNAcentral.
AGGUAAGCUACUAAGAGCGAAUGGUGGAUGCCUUGACUGGUAAAGGCGAUGAAGGACGUACUAGACUGCGAUAAGCUACGGGGAGCUGUCAAGAAGCUUUGAUCCGUAGAUUUCCGAAUGGGGCAACCCAAUGUAUAGAGAUAUACAUUACCUAUAUAGGAGCGAACGAGGGGAAUUGAAACAUCUUAGUACCCUCAGGAAAAGAAAUCAAUAGAGAUUGCGUCAGUAGCGGCGAGCGAAAGCGCAAGAGGGCAAACCCAGUGCUUGCACUGGGGGUUGUAGGACUGCAAUGUGCAAGAGGUAAGUUUAGCAGAACAUUCUGGAAAGUAUAACCAUAGAGGGUGAUAGUCCCGUAUGCGAAAAACAAACCUUAGCUAGCAGUAUCCUGAGUAGGGCGGGACACGAGGAAUCCUGUCUGAAUCCGGGUCGACCACGAUCCAACCCUAAAUACUAAUACCAGAUCGAUAGUGCACAAGUACCGUGAGGGAAAGGUGAAAAGAACUGAGGUGAUCAGAGUGAAAUAGAACCUGAAACCAUUUGCUUACAAUCAUUCAGAGCCCUAUGUAGCAAUACAGGGUGAUGGACUGCCUUUUGCAUAAUGAGCCUGCGAGUUGUGGUGUCUGGCAAGGUUAAGCAAACGCGAAGCCGUAGCGAAAGCGAGUCUGAAUAGGGCGCUUAGUCAGAUGCUGCAGACCCGAAACGAAGUGAUCUAUCCAUGAGCAAGUUGAAGCUAGUGUAAGAACUAGUGGAGGACUGAACCCAUAGGCGUUGAAAAGCCCCGGGAUGACUUGUGGAUAGGGGUGAAAGGCCAAUCAAACUUCGUGAUAGCUGGUUCUCUCCGAAAUAUAUUUAGGUAUAGCGUUGUGUCGUAAUAUAAGGGGGUAGAGCACUGAAUGGGCUAGGGCAUACACCAAUGUACCAAACCCUAUCAAACUCCGAAUACCUUAUAUGUAAUCACAGCAGUCAGGCGGCGAGUGAUAAAAUCCGUCGUCAAGAGGGAAACAACCCAGACUACCAGCUAAGGUCCCUAAAUCUUACUUAAGUGGAAAACGAUGUGAAGUUACUUAAACAACCAGGAGGUUGGCUUAGAAGCAGCCAUCCUUUAAAGAAAGCGUAAUAGCUCACUGGUCUAGUGAUUUUGCGCGGAAAAUAUAACGGGGCUAAAGUAAGUACCGAAGCUGUAGACUUAGUUUACUAAGUGGUAGGAGAGCGUUCUAUUUGCGUCGAAGGUAUACCGGUAAGGAGUGCUGGAGCGAAUAGAAGUGAGCAUGCAGGCAUGAGUAGCGAUAAUUAAUGUGAGAAUCAUUAACGCCGUAAACCCAAGGUUUCCUACGCGAUGCUCGUCAUCGUAGGGUUAGUCGGGUCCUAAGUCGAGUCCGAAAGGGGUAGACGAUGGCAAAUUGGUUAAUAUUCCAAUACCAACAUUAGUGUGCGAUGGAAGGACGCUUAGGGCUAA